RNA transcript from Beta vulgaris subsp. vulgaris (sugar beet), 2482 nucleotides. RefSeq lists it as uncharacterized. The record is from RefSeq and is a predicted model, not a curated record. The transcript has 3 exons. Lineage: Eukaryota; Viridiplantae; Streptophyta; Magnoliopsida; Caryophyllales; Amaranthaceae.
UUUGGUCCGGUCUGGCAAAUAGAGUUUAAAGUUAGGUAUUAGAGUUUAAAAGUUGUUGUUCGAGUUUUAAUUUUUUGUUCAGCAUAUUUGACCACUAUUUUGAUAACUUUUUUUUUAUAAAUGUGUUUAUAAUAAUUAACUGAUGGCUGAAAGCUCAUCGUCGUAGACAUUUUAAUACAUUUUUUUUGGACUCCCUUUCGGAAAUCCGUGGUAAGAUAAAUUGCCUCUGAGCUGCUCUCGCACAGAGCCAUUUUCACAACAAGUUCCAAAAUAAUUUAAAUAAUAAAUCAUUUUACUUUUACGAAAAAUAUCAUUUUAAUGUAAAAGCGCCAAAAAUAAAUAGUGAAAAUUACGGGGUGUUACAACACGUGUGUAUGGUGAGUAAGGUGCGCAUAUACAUGGCUAACAAGCCAAAUGUACAUAUAAAUUUGUAAUAACAUGUAAGUUUUUUGUCCAUCUCUCUUUUUUUUCUCUCUAAAACUCUAGCCUCCCCUACCCUUUCUUCAUCAAUUGGAGGCUGCCAUCGAUGAUUUCAUUCAUGAUAAGCCCCUUUUCUCCUUUUUUUUUUUCAGUUUUUAGUUUAUUUUCUUGUUUUGUUGAAUAAAUUAGUAUCUCUUUAUGAGAUUUCUUCAAAUCCUGCUAUGGGAUUUUUAGUCAGUGUUGUGGAAAUCUCCUUUUUCCCUAUAGAAGUUGUGAUUGUGGUUUUUUUGUUUUUAGUUAUGAGAAAUUGUUCGUAUUGGUUGAACUUCGAAACUCAACAUGAAGAUAUUGUAAUCUCGGAUUCGUUUAACAUAGCUCGAUCAAGAAUGUUUUUUCCAAACUAUGUCAGAAUGAUAGACUUCAUUAUCAAUAGCUGCUUGAUUCAGCAAAUACAAGAGGGAUGCGUUGUAUUACUCGAUCUGGUUCAUUAGAGUUUAUUCGAAGACGAAUUUGAUGUAUUUUUUUUUAAUAUCUAUUGUAGAUAUUGUUUGGCCUUCAAUUAAUGAAAUUUUUCUUCGAAAAAAAGAAGAGGCCAAAUGUACAUGAAUAAUCAGUCGAAUGAAAACAAGUACAUAACUAACAAGCCAAAUGAAUAUACAUCUCUAUAAUAUAUGUUCAUUGGUGUUGAUCUUUAUAUUUAUAACUUAGUGCUUGAUGUUCAUCGUCCAUACAUUCCUCACCAUACGGACAUGUGCACCUAUUAAUUUGCAUAUUGCUCUAAUAUGAACCACCCUAUAAUUAUUGUAUUUAAUAGUUUAUAUAAUUACUCUCCCAAAAACUUGAUAGUUUAUAUAAUUAAGUUUUUGGGUCAGUAAUUCACUACUGUACUUGAUAGGUUUAUAUAAUUACUCUCCCAAAAACUUGGAAGCUGAUAAAUCAAAGACAUGGAGCAUUCUUGAAGGAUUUCAUCGCCGGAAAUUCUGGCCAUUGCAGUGGCAAAAGGAAAUAUCUGAAGUACUGGAAAUUCUCAACUUCACUGUGAUCAAGUCCAAGAACUCCAUUGGAUUCAAACGAAUCAUUUGCUCUGUACUGCUGUUUUUAUUGAUUAAGGUAUCAGUUAGGAGGAGUGGGAUGGGUCAACAAUCCGACCCAUGCAUGUCCUGGAAUCCAGAUUUAGCAUGGCUUAAUGUAUUGCUGGGUAGAAGUUGCUUGAUAGUUGAUGCAGCUUCACAAAAAAAAAGUAACAUACAACUUUGUUUGAUUUUAGAUACACGUUCUGUAUAUGAUGAGCUUUAGCUGGCAAUAUUGGUCUUAGACUCUUAUUGACACUUUUAUCUGCCUGUUUAUAAUGGUGCAAGACAUGCUUCUUUCCCUUUCAAUACUAACCAGCAUAGAACUUCUGCAUGUCUCUGAGACUCUGAUUGACAACAGCGGGAGAGGAAUAGGUGAAUAAGGCUUGUGAUUAGCAUCUACAAUGGCCGAUAAUUUACAAGAUCUGAUUCCAGUAUUUUCUUUGUGGUGGACUGUACUUAUUCUGUUCUUUCACUUAUAUGUACAGAUAACAGGUCUUGGCUAAAACUGCAGCUCCAGUGUGGCAGUGUACCAUAGAGGACAUAUAUCAAUUGAUUCUCAUGUUUAUAAAAGGUUUGCCUUGCUCAUACUCUUAAUUGCAGUUAAUGUAUGGAUUAUUCAUUUUUUCACAUGCACCACCUUAGGGGGAUAGAAUUUUUUUUAUUUACAUACUUGAACAGGAAAUGGUUUAUUUUCUUCGGCCCAAAUCAAGUUUAAAGGCCACUUCAGAUGAAAGUCAAUAAACAUAUUUCAUUUGUAGAAGGGAAAUAAUGGCUUGGAAGAGAAGCCCAAUUGGUGGCUGGGUCCACUAUGUAUUGGGCCGUCUUUCAAGUUUGAUGUAAUCAUAAAGUCUAUGCCUCAAAUGUGUCAUCACUUUUCUUGCCUGUUCUUUUGUUUUUUACCAGAUGAAACUCUUAAAAGUCUGUCCAAUGCUCAUUUUUCUGAGUUAAUCUAGUGAACUUUAAGGAAAUGCAUGUCUCGUGUUGUGCUA